AGUGAACGCUGGCGGUAGGCCUAACACAUGCAAGUCGAACGACAGCACAGUAAGAGCUUGCUCUUACGGGUGGCGAGUGGCGGACGGGUGAGGAAUACAUCGGAAUCUACUUUUUCGUGGGGGAUAACGUAGGGAAACUUACGCUAAUACCGCAUACGACCUACGGGUGAAAGCAGGGGGUCUUCGGACCUUGCGCGAUUGAAUGAGCCGAUGUCGGAUUAGCUAGUUGGCGGGGUAAAGGCCCACCAAGGCGACGAUCCGUAGCUGGUCUGAGAGGAUGAUCAGCCACACUGGAACUGAGACACGGUCCAGACUCCUACGGGAGGCAGCAGUGGGGAAUAUUGGACAAUGGGCGCAAGCCUGAUCCAGCCAUACCGCGUGGGUGAAGAAGGCCUUCGGGUUGUAAAGCCCUUUUGUUGGGAAAGAAAAGCAGCAGGUUAAUACCCCGCUGUUCUGACGGUACCCAAAGAAUAAGCACCGGCUAACUUCGUG
Molecule: ribosomal RNA, 492 nt
Filed under: uncultured bacterium
Lineage: Bacteria
Description: partial 16S ribosomal RNA
Rfam family: Bacterial small subunit ribosomal RNA
Source: RNAcentral